Molecule: small nuclear RNA, 195 nt
Filed under: Lasius niger
Lineage: Eukaryota; Metazoa; Arthropoda; Insecta; Hymenoptera; Formicidae
Description: U2 spliceosomal RNA
Rfam family: U2 spliceosomal RNA
About the family: U2 is a small nuclear RNA (snRNA) component of the spliceosome (involved in pre-mRNA splicing). Complementary binding between U2 snRNA (in an area lying towards the 5' end but 3' to hairpin I) and the branchpoint sequence (BPS) of the intron results the bulging out of an unpaired adenosine, on the BPS, which initiates a nucleophilic attack at the intronic 5' splice site, thus starting the first of two transesterification reactions that mediate splicing.
Source: Rfam by way of RNAcentral
AUCGCUUCUCGGCUCUCUGAGCUAAGAUCAAAUGUGUAGUAUCUGUUCUUAUCAGCUUAAUAUCUGAUACAAUUCCCACAGGGAAUUCAGAAUAUUAAAGCGAUUUUUGAACCGAGGCGGGAGAUCGGAGCUUGCUCCGGCCCUACCAUAAGGUCGACCUGGCAUUGCAGUGACGUCAGGAUUGGCCUCAUAAAU